Molecule: transfer RNA, 66 nt
Filed under: Modiolus nipponicus
Lineage: Eukaryota; Metazoa; Mollusca; Bivalvia; Mytilida; Modiolidae
Also listed under: 1 other name
Description: tRNA-Asp
Source: RNAcentral
UAAGGAAUAGUUAAAUUAUAAUUCUAGUUUGUCAGACUAGUGUUGGGAACAAGUUCCCUUUCUUAA